CCAUGGGUGUGUUGUGUACAUGCUGCUCUGCAAGCGGGAGGCGGCGUGUCGCCCCUCCCGCCCCCACCCCAUCACUCUUCUCGCAUGCGCAUCGCUCACGUUCGCUUUCGCCAAGCAAGUUUCAACGGACAUGUUAUUUCCACGCCUGUUCACGUUUGUUUUUCCUAUUAUUUCUCAUGCUCCUUCUUACGCUCACAACUCUGUGUGUCUGUGUGUGUGUGCGUGUGUGUGUGUGUGUGUGCGUGCGUGCGCGCGGUUCCGUCUGUAUGACUUCACCUUUAUCCUCGCCUUUUCCCUCUCUUCUUUGUGUGUGUGUGUGUGUAUGUGUGCUCUUGGCGUUGUGAAUGUUGCUGCUGGCGUUUUGUCUUCCUGUGCAUGUUGUCUCUCUCCCGAUGUGUCCUCUACAUGCGCACUGCCAGCUUAUAUUCCUGUAAAGCCCUAUCGCCAUCAUCGCCAUCUCACUCCUUUUUGAUUCAAGCUGAUUCGUCGAGCAUGAAAGAGUCGUCCUGAGUCCAUGGAAGCGUUAAGGCGAGGAUAGCAUGCUGCGCAGAUCUCUCAUUUCUCGGCUGGACCAUGUGCGUCUGCUUUUUUCGUGGUAUUCGAAAUUUUUAUCCCUCAGCGAUUCUCGCCGUGCCUGUUCUUUGAUGUGUGACGGAGUGACGCGGCCUCCUCUCCGUUCCCUCGAUGAGGAGGGAGAGAAAGGGAAGGAGAAGGGGGGUCUGCCGCUGCCUUUUCGACGCAACAGACGGUACAUCAUCUAUCUCCACUGUUUCCGUUGCGUUUUCUCGGCGGCCUCUAACUCUUUUCAGUAUUCCGCGUCUUCUUCAGUUUAGGGAGAGGAGAGCGUGAUUUCGGUGUUUCAUCUCUGCGUGGCAGCGAGUGGUUUCUCGGCUCCUCACCUCCCAUCCCUCCUCCACGCACACGCACACCUAUAUAUGUCAUCGUCUUCAUGGGCGUCAUAAUCUCACCACCCAAUCCCCAACCGUGUAAGCAAGCUCUUGCCUGCUGUCCCUCUCUCCCUGUCUUCCGUUCUUUAGCUUCUUUCCCUUUGGAUGCUCAUUUUGCAUGUGUGCGUGUGUGUGUGUAGCCUUCGAUCGGCACUGGCACCUAACGACUGCAGGCUGCUCUCGACUCUCUCGCUGUGUGUGAUCCCUUUCAUCGUUAUUUGCGCAUCGGUUCGAGCCGCACAUAACACACGCAGCCACAGAGAAAAUAGCGAACACCCACGAGCACUGGCUUGUUUGGGACGGUUCAUGGUAAGGGCUACAUGCGACUGCUGCCGGAGAGGGGCCGCACGAACGGCCCAGCGUCUCCCAUCGGACCCCGUCUACAGCACAAGUAGGACUCAGUGGGCGUAACACCCAUUCCCGGUAGGAGCCUUUCAUUGCAUCCGGACAAGCUUUCUGGAGACACUUAGACGAUUACCAAAGCCCUUCUCAGCUCCCUGCUCGCCGCGCUGGAAGGAAUGAUGGGCUUUCUUUUCCACUGUUGUACUCGCCUGAGAGAAUCUCGCUCUCUGUCUCUCUCUCUAUCCCUCAUCUUCUCGUCGCUGUGCGUACGCCUCUGCGCCCACCUACGCACCAUCUUUCUCGCCUUAUCUUUCACUGUCGCGCGUGGCUCUUUACCUAG
RNAcentral lists this unclassified non-coding RNA (1629 nucleotides) under Leishmania donovani. Its description in RNAcentral is "gene:unknown". Lineage: Eukaryota; Euglenozoa; Kinetoplastea; Trypanosomatida; Trypanosomatidae. The record is from RNAcentral.